UCCUUCGCCCAGCCGCUCAUUUGGGAUCCAGCUGCAGUCCUCGCCGCCACCUUCUCCUUCUCCCAGCUGGCCGCCCCCUUUCUUUGCAGCUUGACAUAAAGAUUAGCAUGUGUGUGUGUCCUGCAGCUCGAGAGGGACAAAAUAGGAGGUCACCAUGAAAUGUCGAAAGAGAAAGAGAGGCCGUAAGAGUGGAUCAUUCAUUUGUCAUUGGUUUCUCAUCACUUAUCCAAUACUUUCUUUGUUGCUAUCUUCUGAUGAUAUACUGACUUGCAAUAUCUAUAUUCUCAAUAUGUAAAUACGCAAGGGAGUGGAUACCAGUAUAUUACUCUUUCCGUCCAUAUAAUCAGAUGGUUGUCUGUCAAUUUUAUAAAAUUCUUUGGAUUUGCUCAAUAUGUGUCAUGUACCUAGGACCAUUCACUCCAAUGUGGUAUGAGAACAUUUAUUUUCUAAUUGUUCUUGGUUUGAUGUCAAGGCGUACUCAUUCUUGAAAUCUAUGUGGCUUUUUCAGAAACACUAUGUUCCAAGAAGUUUAUUCAAGAGAGCUGGGCAUAUAGGUCCGUCAUGACUGGCAAUGCCCUACAGGACGGCUUGGUUGAUGCAAUCCGUGUAUCCCUCACGGAUCCACUUGGAACUCAUGCUGCAGACCAUCAAUUAGGUGUGGAUAACCAUACUCAAGUCUGGUAGUGCGAUGGCUCCUGUAGAACUAAUCUCUGCACAAUUUGUUUCAAUGAGCACCCAGACCGCCCUGAUUGACCAGGCUCAAGGCAUGCCGUCGGCUCCUGUGCCCUCCUACUCCGACACCGCAGUGGGCGCGUCAAUGGCUGGAGCAGAGGAGGAGAUCCAGGCGGAGCGCGCCAUCUCCAUCGUCGUAUCUGUUGCUGCGUCCCUCGAUCUAUAUGUGUUCUUUUCCUGACCAUCCCAGUUGUGGUUGCCUGGAGCUCAUCCUUGAUUUGCUCUUUUUCCCUUGCAGGUUGGUCAGCUGCGGGUGCUGGUGCUUCUGGUCGAUUUGUCCUGCUGCGUCGGCCAUUGUUCUGUAGCUUGCAUCUGCAGUACAUUAUCAAAGAAACUGAAUCUGGAAGGUUAAGACAUUAGACAUCUAUUGAGAGUUAAUGAAAUUUAACACCUGAAGACUGCUGCCCAUACAACGAUGAAGAUGCCAUCUCCAACUAGAACAGUAUCAGCCUACUUGGACAUCGACUGGUCGCCAGUUGAACCAGCAACCAGCAGCCGACAUCAGCGAUUCAGCCGACAUCAAAUAUAUACCAAAUCAAAUCAAACACUACAAAGAUAUAUUUGAUUUGUAUGCCCUAUAUUAAACUCAGCUGUCCUGGGCAGCAUCUAUCUCUUGCUCUUGAUAUAUCUUUGUAGUGUUUGUGAUAUAUAUUGAACACAUUUAU
Molecule: long non-coding RNA, 1397 nt
Organism: Triticum aestivum (bread wheat)
Lineage: Eukaryota; Viridiplantae; Streptophyta; Magnoliopsida; Poales; Poaceae
Exons: 6
Source: RefSeq, a predicted model, not a curated record